This 345-nucleotide ribosomal RNA is filed under the name uncultured archaeon. Its description in RNAcentral is "bacterial SSU rRNA". It matches the Rfam family "Archaeal small subunit ribosomal RNA", at positions 24 to 372 of the family's 1478-position model. The record is from RNAcentral.
CCCGACUGCUAUCAGAGUGGGACUAAGCCAUGCGAGUCGACAUAGCAAUAUGUGGCAUACGGCUCAGUAACACGUAGUCAACAUGCCCAGGGGACGUGGAUAACCUCGGGAAACUGAGGAUAAACCGCGAUAGGUCAUCACUUCUGGAAUGGGUAAUGACUUAAACCUAUAUGGCCCCUGGAUUGGACUGCGGCCGAUCAGGCUGUUGGUGAGGUAAUGGCCCACCAAACCUGUAACCGGUACGGGCUCUGAGAGGAGGAGCCCGGAGAUGGGCACUGAGACAAGGGCCCAGGCCCUAUGGGGCGCAGCAGGCGCGAAACCUCUGCAAUAGGCGAAAGCUUGACA